GGUUAAGCGACUAAGCGUACACGGUGGAUGCCCUGGCAGUCAGAGGCGAUGAAGGGCGUGCUAAUCUGCGAUAAGCGCCGGUAAGGUGAUAUGAACCGUUAUAACCGGCGAUACCCGAAUGGGGAAACCCAGUGUGAUUCGUCACACUAUCAUUAACUGAAUCCAUAGGUUAAUGAGGCGAACCGGGGGAACUGAAACAUCUAAGUACCCCGAGGAAAAG
This 220-nucleotide ribosomal RNA is filed under the name Salmonella enterica subsp. enterica serovar Senftenberg. RNAcentral's name for it is "partial 23S ribosomal RNA". It matches the Rfam family "Bacterial large subunit ribosomal RNA", at positions 1 to 221 of the family's 2925-position model. Lineage: Bacteria; Pseudomonadati; Pseudomonadota; Gammaproteobacteria; Enterobacterales; Enterobacteriaceae. RNAcentral also lists the same sequence under 3 other names. The record is from RNAcentral.